UGAGGAAUAUUGGCCAAUGGGCGCAAGCCUGAACCAGCCAUCCCGCGUGCAGGAAGACGGCCCUAUGGGUUGUAAACUGCUUUUCCAGGGGGAGUAACUUGCGCACGUGUUGCGCAAUUGACGGUACCCUGGGAAUAAGCAUCGGCUAACUCCGUGCCAGCAGCCGCGGUAAUACGGAGGAUGCGAGCGUUAUCCGGAUUCAUUGGGUUUAAAGGGUGCGUAGGCGGACUAUUAAGUCAGUGGUGAAAUCCUGCAGCUUAACUGCAGAGCGGCGAUUGAUAGUGAUAGCCGUGCGUUUGGUUAAGGUAGGCGGAAUGUGUAAUGUAGCGGUGAAAUGCUUAGAUAUUACACAGAACACCAAGUGCGUAGGAAGCUUACUGAGCCGACACUGACGCUGAGG
Molecule: ribosomal RNA, 400 nt
Filed under: uncultured bacterium
Lineage: Bacteria
Description: bacterial SSU rRNA
Rfam family: Bacterial small subunit ribosomal RNA
Source: RNAcentral